AACGCUGGCGGCAGGCCUAACACAUGCAAGUCGAGCGCCGUAGCAAUACGGAGCGGCAGACGGGAGAGUAACACGUGGGAACGUACCCUUUGGUUCGGAACAACCCAGGGAAACUUGGGCUAAUACCGGAUAAGCCCUUACGGGGAAAGAUUCAUCGCCGAAGGAUCGGCCCGCGUCUGAUUAGCUAGUUGGUGGGGUAAUGGCCCACCAAGGCGACGAUCAGUAGCUGGUCUGAGAGGAUGAUCAGCCUCACUGGGACUGAGACACGGCCCAGACUCCUACGGGAGGCAGCAGUGGGGAAUAUUGGACAAUGGGCGCAAGCCUGAUCCAGCCAUGCCGCGUGGGUGAUGAAGGCCCUAGGGUUGUAAAGCCCUUUCGGCGGGGAAGAUAAUGACGGUACCCGCAGAAGAAGCCCCGGCUAACUUCGUGCCAGCAGCCGCGGUAAUACGAAGGGGGCUAGCGUUGCUCGGAAUCACUGGGCGUAAAGCGCACGUAGGCGGAUUGUUAAGUCAGGGGUGAAAUCCUGGAGCUCAACUCCAGAACUGCCUUUGAUACUGGCGAUCUUGAGUCCGGGAGAGGUGAGUGGAACUGCGA
RNAcentral lists this ribosomal RNA (594 nucleotides) under uncultured bacterium. Its description in RNAcentral is "bacterial SSU rRNA". It matches the Rfam family "Bacterial small subunit ribosomal RNA", at positions 32 to 672 of the family's 1533-position model. The record is from RNAcentral.